UCUGAAGGAUAAAUCCCCAAAAGAGUAGCUGGAGUUUAGUACCAUUUGUAAUUUUGAUAUAUAUUGCCAAAUUGUCAUCCUUCCUAAAAGUAAUAUAAGAAGGGCUUAUCUCCUCAUAGCUCCUCAUAGCAUAUCUCCUUAUCUCCUCCUUGAGAAAGAGUAUGUUAUCAAACUACUCCAUCGUUUGAAUUUCUAUUUCUCUCAUUUUGAGUAUGGUAUGGCAUUUUUUUUUCAUAUAUUUUGUUUUGUUUUGUUUUGUUUUUUGUUUUUGUUUUUUUCAUAUUUUUAAAGAUACUAUAUUUCCUUUCCUGUGACCCAUCUGAUCAUAUCAACUACCCAUUUUUCUAUUGGGUUUCCUUUUUAUCAUCAAUUUCUAGAAACCUCUUACUAUAUUAGAAAACUUGACUCUAUGUCUGUAAGUUGAAAGUCCUCCCAGUUUCUCAUUUGCCUUUCGGCUUUGCUUAUGAUUUUUUUCCGUGCAAAAUUUUUUAAUUUCAUUUUUUCAUUUAGUCAAAUGUAUCCUUCUUUUUAAAACUUUCUGGAAUUUGAAUCAUAGUAUAAAAGACUAUUUCAAGAUUAUCAAGGCAUUCUUUCAUGCUUUCUACCAACACUUCUGUGGUUCCCUUUUUUAAAUUUGAAAUUACUAAUAUAUUUGAAAUUUAUUGUAACUUAUGAUAUGAUGUAUGGAGCUAUGCUGUUUUUAAUCAUAACUUAUUUUCCCAAAGAGAAAUCAUAUCUUAAAUAGAUCAUUCUCAACUUAAAAUACUACAUCUUUUUAAAAUUCAUUAUUUUAAGAGAGCAUGACUCUGUGUAUCAUUUAUAUUUUCAGUGUGUGUCUAAUACAAUGUCUUCACACAUUAUUUUAAAAGCCAUAAAAAAGCAGUGAAAAAGUCACAUAAAAUAAUAGUGGCCAAGUAAUUCCAAACCACCCUUUUCCAAACUCAACAACAGGAAAUGCUGAAAUAAUCUCAAGUAAAAUGCAGAGCCUUUUUAUUCCCUUUUAGUGAACUGACUUAAAUGUUUAUGCUUAGAUUAGCCAAUUUAUUAAGAUCCAUAACUCUAUGUUUUUUAAAGAUUUCAGAAAAUCCAAUCUGUUAAAUACUCCAGUCCACAAAAUUCCUGUAGUAAGCUCUAUGAGAACUGCACAUCAUAAAUGUGCAGUAGGGGAAACACCUGAAUGGACUCAUGGGAAGCUCUCCCAAAAAGUAGCACAGCUUUCCUAUAUAUCUUCACAGUGGUUUGGCAGCUAUCACGGUAGUAACAUCCUGUCCUACUUGCCUUAACUCACUGACAAAUGUAGAGAAGAUGGUCAAGAGCUAAGUGGAGUAAUUGUGUUGAGAUGCUCCACAUCCCAUUUUCUUCUUGAAAUCAAGGAACACAUGCUUCUAACCAUGAUCGCUGGCUUCAUGAAAUGACUAUUUAGAGAUAGGCCUGAUAAAGUUUCAUCUUCCUGUAGAACUGGGCUUAGCCUGAAGCUAUUGAUUGCAAAGAUCCUGAAAGUUUGGGAAUAGUGGAUAUGUACAGUCUGUCUCUAAUUUGAAAAUCCCUGAGCAUUGCCCUCUUUGAAUGAGUAGAUGUUUACUUAACAUAAUACUGGUGGAGAAUUCCAAGCACGGUAAAUAGUAUGGUGCAAAAGAAACAGGUUCAUAUGCAGGUAGAACCGAGUUAAAUAGAAAAAGGGUUAGGAGAACAAGGGGAAAGUUAUUAAAAGCAACAACAAUAUCACUGGACUGAUAUUGGUAGAACCAAUUCUACCUUAAAUUUAUUGUAUGACAUCUAGCAAGAUAGACCAUUUAUGGGUCUCCAUUUAUAUACUAAUAACAAGAGCAAUUUAGAUUAUUUAAUCUCUAGGAUCUUCCAGUAGUGGCAUCCGUUAUUCUCAGGGAUGUAAGAACAGAGGUAGUUUUUGGUUCAGAUGAGGGGGCCAUACCUGAAGGAUAAUAAUAAAACUUCUUUUGUUUUGUGUGUGAGUGUGUUUUUUAAUUCAAGUGUUAAUAAUAAUCUGUCAGUUUCCACUAAUCAAAUAUGUUUACAAUUAGUAAAUAUUCUCAUCAUUAUUCCAAGUUAAAAAUAUGUAUAGUCACAUAUUUUUAGAUUUUUGUUUAAAUUUUGAAGUAUAUAGUUUGUUUUACUACUCUUGAGAAAAGUUUGUUAAAACAUGCCUAUAAUGCUCAUUAAAUGACAAAAGAGCAAUUGUGAUAAAAUAAGGUUCAAAAUUCCUUGUUCCAGGAAAAUGUUUUCAAUUACCCUUUAGUAAAUAAGUUGUGUAAAAAUCGCUAUUUUUUUUCUGAGACCAACUAAAAUCCUCCAUAUAUAAUCAAUAAGGGAAAUAAGUGUAUAGAGACUCCGUAAACAAACAAGUUCACAAAAGUAGACAAUCUGAAGGGUGU
This 2390-nucleotide long non-coding RNA is filed under the name Canis lupus familiaris (dog). Its description in RNAcentral is "lncRNA (ENSCAFG00845000010.1)". Lineage: Eukaryota; Metazoa; Chordata; Mammalia; Carnivora; Canidae. The record is from RNAcentral.